AGGUCACUUUAAAGAGGGCUUGUUGGACUGUAAACCCAAAGCUCUUAAUGCUGUGACCAAAGAUUGAGACUCUCCACAGAAUGCCAGAGGCUCUUUCUGGUGCUGCGUUCUUCUGAGGAGAUACAGGC
Molecule: small nucleolar RNA, 128 nt
Filed under: Nannospalax galili (Upper Galilee mountains blind mole rat)
Lineage: Eukaryota; Metazoa; Chordata; Mammalia; Rodentia; Spalacidae
Description: Small nucleolar RNA SNORA25 (ENSNGAG00000002711.1)
Rfam family: Small nucleolar RNA SNORA25
About the family: ACA25 is a member of the H/ACA class of snoRNA that guide the sites of modification of uridines to pseudouridines.
Source: Rfam by way of RNAcentral